AUUGAACGCUGGCGGCAGGCCUAACACAUGCAAGUCGAACGAGUGGCGGACGGGUGAGUAAUGUCUGGGAAACUGCCUGAUGGAGGGGGAUAACUACUGGAAACGGUAGCUAAUACCGCAUACCAUCAGAUGUGCCCAGAUGGGAUUAGCUUGUUGGUGGGGUAACGGCUCACCAAGGCGACGCUCCCUAGCUGGUCUGAGAGGAUGACCAGCGACGCUGGAACGGAGACACGGUCCAGACUCCUACGGUGGGCAGCGGUGGGGAAUAUUGCACAAUGGGCGCAAGCCUGAUGUAGCCAUGCCGCGUGUAUGAAGAAGGCCGUCAGGUUGUAAAGUACGUUCAGCGGGGAGGCGUUACCCGCAGAAUAAGCACCGGCUAACUCCGUGCCAGCAGCCGCGGUAAUAC
RNAcentral lists this ribosomal RNA (406 nucleotides) under uncultured bacterium. RNAcentral's name for it is "partial 16S ribosomal RNA". It matches the Rfam family "Bacterial small subunit ribosomal RNA", at positions 30 to 526 of the family's 1533-position model. The record is from RNAcentral.